Molecule: long non-coding RNA, 187 nt
Organism: Juglans microcarpa x Juglans regia
Lineage: Eukaryota; Viridiplantae; Streptophyta; Magnoliopsida; Fagales; Juglandaceae
Exons: 4
Source: RefSeq, a predicted model, not a curated record
AUGAAAAGCUUUUUAGAAUGAAGAAUUAUCCUAGUGGAACUCUUUUGUCCACUCUGGAGUAAUUAAAUAUGGGGUGGUAACCCGUGGGUUGACGAAGAAUAGUCAACAGACUUCGAAUGAAUUCUUUUUAAGGAACGUCGGAGUGAAGUCAUAUGUUUCGACACCUAAUGCUACUGGGUGUACAUGU